AAGCUCGUAGUUGAAUUUCGAGACCAAUAUGUCGGUCGUGCUUCGGUACGUACUGUCAUAAUUGGUUUCUCCCUUCUGAAGAACCUUGAUGUCAUUAAUUUGGUGUCUUGGGGAAUCAGGACUGUUACUUUGAAAAAAUUAGAGUGUUUAAAGCAGGCUCGCGCUUGAAUACAUUAGCAUGGAAUAAUGAAAUAGGACGUUUGAUUCUAUUUUGUUGGUUUCUAGGAUCGACGUAAUGAUUAAUAGGGAUAGUUGGGGGCAUUAGUAUUCAAUUGUCAGAGGUGAAAUUCUUGGAUUUAUUGAAGACUAACUACUGCGAAAGCAUUUGCCAAGGAUGCUUUCAUUAAUCAAGAACGAAAGUUAGGGGAUCGAAGACGAUCAGAUACCGUCGUAGUCUUAACCAUAAACUAUGCCGACUAGGGAUCGGAUGAUGUUAAUUUUUUAAUGACUCAUUCGGCGCCUUACGGGAAACCAAAGUGUUUGGGUUCCGGGGGGAGUAUGGUCGCAAGGCUGAAACUUAAAGGAAUUGACGGAAGGGCACCACCAGGGGUGGAGCCUGCGGCUUAAUUUGACUCAACACGGGGAAACUCACCAGGUCCAGACAUAGUAAGGAUUGACAGAUUGAGAGCUCUUUCUUGAUUCUAUGGGUG
This 650-nucleotide ribosomal RNA is filed under the name uncultured Glomus. RNAcentral's name for it is "SSU rRNA". It matches the Rfam family "Eukaryotic small subunit ribosomal RNA", at positions 624 to 1276 of the family's 1831-position model. Lineage: Eukaryota; Fungi; Glomeromycota; Glomeromycetes; Glomerales; Glomeraceae. The record is from RNAcentral.